CAGUCGCCGCGGUAAUACAGAGGGUGCGAGCGUUAAUCGGAUUUACUGGGCGUAAAGCGUGCGUAGGCGGCUUCUUAAGUCGGAUGUGAAAUCCCUGAGCUUAACUUAGGAAUUGCAUUCGAUACUGGGAAGCUAGAGUAUGGGAGAGGAUGGUAGAAUUCCAGGUGUAGCGGUGAAAUGCGUAGAGAUCUGGAGGAAUACCGGUGGCGAAGGCGGCCCCCUGGACAAAGACUGACGCUCAGGUGCGAAAGCGUGGGGAGCAAACAGGAUUAGAUACCCCGGUAGUCCCUGUCUCUUAUAC
Molecule: ribosomal RNA, 301 nt
Filed under: uncultured bacterium
Lineage: Bacteria
Description: partial 16S ribosomal RNA
Rfam family: Bacterial small subunit ribosomal RNA
Source: RNAcentral